GUGGGGUGGGGUGAGGUCAGGUGGGUGGGAGGGAGUGGGGGGUCGGCAGGCCUGUUUCUAGGAUUUUGGGGUCCCUAGGCAACGGGAUUGUUGGGGGCCCUAGGGCAUUUUUUGGCCUUUUACUAAAAUGUGUGUGUGUGUGUGUGUGUGUGUGUGUCUGUGUGUGUGUAGGCUAUGUUUUUUCACGCUGCCCAGUGGUGUUUUUCAGAAUCACUAACCAUUAAACCAGGGGUAGGGAACCUAUGUCUCGAGGGCCCUUGAGGCCGUUUUAUCCGGCCCCUGAUAUCAUUAUAAUGUUUUGCAACUUCACAGGAAUCUUAGAAAUUACAUUUCCAAUGCAAUUAAGUUAGCCUAUAUUCAGGGGACCGGGUGGGGACUGUUUUAAAGGUGUCUACCUUUAAAGAUGUCUAUAUGUCUAUAUAGGCCUAAAGGUGUCUAUAUAGGCCUAAAUUUUAUGGGGAAAUCCUGAUUUGUGUUCAUAGUACGGCCCCCGGAGGAUUUUAUGACCAUGGUAGGAAUUUGAAGUGGCCCCUCGAAUGAAAAAGGUUCCCCACCCCUGCAUUAAACAUUUCUACUAGCCACAGCUUUGCUGCCAGUACAUUUUAUUAUGAUACUAUAAGCUCAGAAAUUAAGUUGAUCAAACAAUUCGAUCUGUGCUAUAAACAUUUAAAUGAACCUACAGAAUAGGCUAUCAAAAUAGAAUCAUCUGAAUGAUCUUUCUUGGACAUACAUUUUGAAGUGACCCUUCGAAUUAAAAAGGUUCCUCAGCUGCUUUUGAGGAAAAACAUCAAUGUGCUUGGCCACUCUGGUUUUUAAAUGGUAUUCUGAACUAAAGCAAGGAUUGUUGAAAGUUAGUUGAAAAUAGACCGUCUCUGGUUAAAUUAGUUCUACACCAAGCCUUUAGGUGGCAGUAAAACGAAUUGGCACAAUGCGAAUUCCACACACAAGCCACAAAGAAGCCAUCAGCCGCGGUCAACAGCACCUUCCUGAUUGAGCAGAACCACGCGUUGUCUGUGUGGUUUACAAGUUUCUUGGCGAUAUGGGGGGAAAGUUCCUCACAUACCAACGGAAAAUGGGCUUCAUAUACAUGCUGCUGUCUCAUAAUAUGGCGAAGACGAGUCAUCUGAAGGCCUAACUCGCCAUAGAAGACUGAAAGAAUUGUCCUGCAGGAUGCUGUGUCCUGCAAUCCUGUGUGCUGUGCUACAGACGCGUGUGGAGGUCAACCCAAAAUGGGCACAGUCUCACCACAGAAGAGUGAAAGAGGAUCCUGGCAGGGAGACGGUAGUGUCCUGCAGAAUGGUGAUGGGCCAAUCUUACAAGAGACCACAGAAAACUGAUAUAGUGAACUAUAGAAACAACAGUGCCUGCUGCAGUAUAAUGAGGACACCCUGAGCAGAGAGCUCCAAUAGACCCAGGUCCAGUGUCUUGGCAGGGUGAAAUGGCACUGAUAUGGUGUCCUGCAGGAUGCUGUGUCCUGCAAUCCUGUGUGCUGUGCUACAGACGCGUGUGGAGGUCAACCCAAAAUGGGCACAGUCUCACCACAGAAGAGUGAAAGAGGCUCCCAGAAGUGAGACUGAGUGCCUGUUGCAGUAUGACGAGGACGCAGUGACCAGAGACCUUCAGUAGACCCUGCUGGCAUGAUUGGCGUCUGAAGAACAUGAAAUCAACAGCAAUGUUUAUAAUGUUGUACAUACCUGUAUAGUCUGUAUUAAAAGGCAGUACCUGUA
Molecule: long non-coding RNA, 1727 nt
Organism: Engraulis encrasicolus (European anchovy)
Lineage: Eukaryota; Metazoa; Chordata; Actinopteri; Clupeiformes; Engraulidae
Exons: 7
Source: RefSeq, a predicted model, not a curated record